AUGGCAGUGGCAGCGGGGCUUAUGCUGGGGACACGGGCAGCAGUGACAGCCCUGCUGAACCCCACAGCACCCACAGCGUUCGCUGUCAAACACGCAUCCAAGAAGACAGGUGGCAGCUCUAAGAACCUUGGUGGGAAAUCACAAGGCAAACACAUCAAGAAAAUGGAAGGUCACUACAUUCAUGCUGGCAACAUCCUUGGCACUCAGCGUCAGUCUAGAUGGCACCCGGGCACCCAUGUGGGACUUGGGAGGAACAAGUGCCUGUAUGCCCUGGAGGAGGCGUGCCCAAUACCAAAAACUCGGAGGCUGUGGAUCUAGUCACUAGUCUGCCCAAGGGUGCUGUGCUCUACAAGACUUUUGUCCACAUGGUUCCUGCCAAACCUGAGGGAACCUUCAAACUAGUAGACAUGCUUUGA
RNAcentral lists this long non-coding RNA (416 nucleotides) under Mus musculus (house mouse). Its description in RNAcentral is "long non-coding RNA chr7:34383658-34384074". The record is from RNAcentral. Lineage: Eukaryota; Metazoa; Chordata; Mammalia; Rodentia; Muridae.